CGGCGUCAGUUCCUAACCUCCAGGGACUACGGGCGGAGCCAACCCCCUGGGGGCGCGGCGUGCGGAGAAAGCAGCAGUAGGCGGGUCACAACAACUCGAUCCCUGGUUGAAGUCUCCAGGGUAGCCGGGAUCCAAAGACCUCUCCUCAGUCUCCUUUGCACGCCGCCUCAAGCAGCUACCUUCUGACCUUUGCACUCUGACCCCGAUCACAACGCCCUCCUCUCUCAAGUUCCGGUACCUUGAACCUCAGCGGGACCGUGCUGAACACUUGACAGCAGCCUGUAACGUGAAGUAGAGGCGAGCAGGAGCCUUGCAGCCAUUGCCUGUGUUGGGAGUUGCAGCUCUCCGGGGAUGCUCAGCAGCGGCUGAUGAACACCCUCAAGUCUCUGUGGUCCAAGCAGGUGAUAAAAAUGAGCAAAGCAGGCCUAAUGGAAGCCAGUGAGGAAGUAGGACAGUGGGUGAAGGAGCAAACACAGAUCUCAUGGCGGGGUGCAGCCAUCCUGGAGCUCCAGUGAACUGUGGCAGUUAACAACAGUGUUCUGGCUCUUACCUGUAUAUCCAGCAUACCAUCCCCAGGAAGCCACCAUUCCUAAAAGCCAU
Molecule: long non-coding RNA, 600 nt
Organism: Tupaia belangeri chinensis (Chinese tree shrew)
Lineage: Eukaryota; Metazoa; Chordata; Mammalia; Scandentia; Tupaiidae
Exons: 4
Source: RefSeq, a predicted model, not a curated record